This 428-nucleotide long non-coding RNA is filed under the name Anas platyrhynchos platyrhynchos (common mallard). RNAcentral's name for it is "lncRNA (ENSAPLG00000027497.1)". Lineage: Eukaryota; Metazoa; Chordata; Aves; Anseriformes; Anatidae. The record is from RNAcentral.
ACUAUAAAUACACCUCUGAGUUUUUAUGACAUCAAGUUGCCUUGAUUUACUGCAGUGUCUCUGCAACCCUAUGCAGUACUGCUUGUAAUUCAAAGCUGUUCAUUGUAAUACAUAAUAAACAUUUUACUUUUCCAUCUUUGCUCUGUCUCAAAUGGUUAAUGAAUAUAAAUUGAAGAUGAAUACUGGCAAUUUUUAAAAUACAUAUGAUAUUUUUUUUUUCUAAAUUUUGUUUAACUUUUGUAGGUUCCAAUCUCAAGGCUAUAUGAGGAAUUUUCCCACAUGUCUGCAUUGCUUUGUCUGUAGUGACUUUUACUCCAACAUGACGAAAACACCAAAAUAAACAAUCUGGAGAAUUAAGGGCCAUGGUUGUUCUCAAUCCCAAACGAUUCUUCUUGCAUCCCCCCAGGGGUAACUGCACCUGCUGCUUC